This 253-nucleotide ribosomal RNA is filed under the name uncultured bacterium. Its description in RNAcentral is "partial 16S ribosomal RNA". It matches the Rfam family "Bacterial small subunit ribosomal RNA", at positions 524 to 776 of the family's 1533-position model. The record is from RNAcentral.
UACGGAGGGUGCAAGCGUUAUCCGGAUUCACUGGGCGUAAAGGGUGCGUAGGUGGCGGGGUAAGUUUGAUGUGAAAGCUCAGGGCUUAACCCUGAAAUGGCAUUGAAUACUACUUUGCUGGAGGUUUGGAGGGGGGACUGGAAUUCUUGGUGUAGCAGUGAAAUGCGUAGAUAUCAAGAGGAACACCAGUGGCGAAGGCGAGUCCCUGGACAACACCUGACACUGAGGCACGAAAGCUAGGGGAGCAAACAGG